UAUGAAGUGAUUUAUAAUGCAGUCAAGAUAUUGUACAGAUUUUGGGAAUCAAACCUUGUUGUUGCUGCACUUGAGUCACAGGAAACAAAUAUUGAUAUAAAAUAUUGUUUUAUUAUUACUGUGUUUGUAUUAUAAUAAGUGUAGUGCAUUAACAGAGUAAAUGAUAUUAACUGAUGAUAUGAUAUUAAACUCAAAAACAGAAUAUAUAUUUUAUUAUUUAUUUGAUUUCUUUUGAAUUUCUUCAUCUUUUUCUCACAUCUUUUUGUAUCUCUGUAUGUCAGGUGUGUCUGCUCCUAAAGUGAUCGUCCUGCCGCCGUCCAGUGAAGAGAUUUCCAUCAAGAAGGCAGCAACAGUGAUGUGUGUGGCCAGCAAUGGUUUCCCUUCAGACUGGAGUCUGAGCUGGAAAGUGAAUGGGAAGAUGUCAGGAUCUCAGGAGAACAGAGCUGGAGUCCUACAGAAAGACGGCGGUCUGUACAGCUGGAGCAGCAGUCUGACUCUCACUGAACAAGAAUGGAUCAACAGAGACUCAGUGAUCUGUGAGAUCAGUCGGGAAGGUCAGACAGUCACUGGAGAAGUGAAGAAAGAUCUGUGUUCUGAGUAGAUCCUCUCUUCUUCUCAUCUCUUCUUCUCAUUCAUGUCUCACAUCAACAGUCUGUGUCUCUGCUUUAUUCAUUCUGUCUGCUUUUAAUAAACUUCAAUAAAGAAAUAUUAAAUAUUG
This is a non-coding RNA of Misgurnus anguillicaudatus (oriental weatherfish), 718 nucleotides long. NCBI's taxonomy places the organism in Eukaryota, Metazoa, Chordata, Actinopteri, Cypriniformes, Cobitidae. The record is from the annotation of a RefSeq genome assembly.